This 390-nucleotide ribosomal RNA is filed under the name uncultured bacterium. Its description in RNAcentral is "bacterial SSU rRNA". It matches the Rfam family "Bacterial small subunit ribosomal RNA", at positions 28 to 417 of the family's 1533-position model. The record is from RNAcentral.
GACGAACGCUGGCGGCGUGCUUAACACAUGCAAGUCGAGCGGUAAGGCCCUUUCGGGGGUACACGAGCGGCGAACGGGUGAGUAACACGUGGGUGACCUGCCUUCAGCUCUGGGAUAAGCCUGGGAAACCGGGUCUAAUACCGGAUAUGACCUCAUGACGCAUGUUGUGGGGUGGAAAGCCUUUAUGCGGCUGGGGGAUGGGCCCGCGGCCUAUCAGCUUGUUGGUGGGGUGAUGGCCUACCAAGGCGACGACGGUAGCCGGCCUGAGAGGGCGACCGGCCACACUGGGACUGAGACACGGCCCAGACUCCUACGGGAGGCAGCAGGUGGGGAAUCUUGCGCAAUGGGCGAAAGCCUGACGCAGCGACGCCGCGUGAGGGAUGACGGCCU